UUUGUCACAUAACUAUUUAUUAAUAAUUUUAUAAGUAGUUGUUACACAAAAAGUUUUGUGUCGUAGUUUGCGCGUUCAAAGUUUGUAAAUAACUUUCUCUAUUUCGUUGCUUAGUUUCUCGAUAUUUCGUAAGAAUUCAUUUAAAUUACGUUUACUUUUAUUACUUUUUGGUGUCAUUAGAUAAUUACUUUUUUUUUAUAGAAUUAAUAGACAUUGACCUAUACAUAUGUUUCUCUUCGUUUAUGAGCGAAAUAGCAGUAUGUUACAUUAUUAUUACAGGAAAUGCAAUUGUUUUUAAUAUUAUGUAAAAUGUUCAAAUUCGCAUCUAAAUACUAAAUUGUAGAAAUUUUAAAUUUAUUAUAUUAAUGAAUAUUAAUAAUAAUGUUUAAGUAUCAAGUCCUAAAAGUGUGUACAUAACCUGACGUAACGAUACCUAUUUGUAUCAUCAAUACCUAUCAUAAAAUUCUAUAAAUAAGUAAUAACAUAUCUAUUAAAUAAUUUAAAAAAAAUUCUAAGUAUAAUUAAAAAAUGACUACUGCUUUAAAGUGAAAAUAUAAACAAUUUGUAUUAAUUAUUUUAAAUUUAUUGUUAAGUUUGAUAGAUGGCGUUGUACGUUGUAAAAUACUCUACAAUCUGUUUGGCAAUGGUAUUAAAAUACUUAGGUAUGUGUGUAGCGAUAUGAAUUAACUAUGAUAAAUUACUGACAAGCGCAUUGCUUUUAGGUCGUUAUCACUGAAAUAACAAUAGUUGAUAUUAACGCGAUCAAGUAAGUAAAAUAUAAUAAUUAUUCUAAGGUUUUCUCGAUGAUUCUACCGGGUUACUAGCAUGACAACGUUAAUUUUUAUCUCUUAUAAACUAUCCAGAUUAAACGUGAAAGUUUAAAAGCUAAUAAAACUUAUAUUUUUACUUUUAUCGUAACAUAUUCAAUUGUGUUUAUCAACGUAAUAUAUUUAUUACUUGAUACCCGUUGUUAAUUUACUACAAUUGUUACUUUUCUUGGGAAUCUUCCUUGAAAACCUAAAUUUGUUACGUCACUGAUCGCGCUAUAACAUGCCGUCAUACUAUGACGUCAUCGUCGCCCCUCUACCAUAUCGCCGCCGCUCGAGCGCUUGGAGUUCCACGAACUCACUAGUAAAAUAGCAAAUUACCUGUACAGCUGGUUUGUACUUGAACAUUUAAGUAUGUAAUUAGUUUAUAUAGUUAAAUGUGAUCUUUAAACUUUAGUGUCAGAAAUUGGAAAUGAUAAAAAACUUUUUUUACCAGAUCUUUGGAUAUUCAACGUUAAUGCCCUAAUUAUAAUGCCUAGUUCAAUUACGUCUAGUUGUAUGGUUUAAUUACUUACUGAUUUUUUGGAGUACAAAAUUUGCAGUUAUAUAGGCAUAGCUAAGAGAUAUAUAACCUACUUUAUUACCAACAAUGGGCUACCUGUUAUUCUUCCUCAAUUGUUUAAUUGUCAACAUCUAGUUCAAACCUGCAUUUUCUGCGGUGACUGGUGUAGAAAAAAAAUAAUAGUAUGGAUUCAUUAUAAAUGUAUUCAAUAUUUUACCAUGUAGAUAAACAGAAAGAUCUCGAAGUUUCUCGUUCAGAUAGAUUUCUUGUUAAUUUACGUUAUUUAACAAAUGCGUUUACAAACACAGUAAACGAAUUUGUUAGCAAUAUCUGAGAGAAUUGUAGUACAUAAAGCUUGCCUUAACCAGAUCUUUUGUUUAGUUCUGGUGUAAUAAGAAAUUAUUUUAGGUAGAACAGGACCGCACAAUGAACAGACAACAAUUGUUUGUAUUAUUAGCAACAUAACUCAUUGUACCAUUGUAAGGUACUUCAUUGAUAAAAUGUUUUAUACACAUUAUUUAGCACACCACUACCCUGGGUUACUGAAAGGCUAAAGCAUUGAAAUUUAUGUUAUAGUCUGGGGGUUCAACACAAAACGCAUUAUUUUGGUCCCAUUCUUAUAUGCGCAUUUCUUCAAUCUACAUUAUUUAAAUGUUAUCAUUGAUAGCACAUUUUUUUAUCAUAUGAUCAUGCGUCACGCAAGCGUGAUUCCAGUUGUAAAUUAGUUACAUGUUUAAACUGCAUGGACGUGCUUCCACUCACGAACUUAAAAAAAUCAGGAUAAUAUACAAAAAUAUAUGUAAACAAGGUUAUCAAUAUAUAGACGUCAACAAGUAAACCACAGAGUUGUUUACUUUCAAAAACAUUACUAAUCCUAUGCAUGAAUGAAAUCCUUGGGUUAAACCAAUAGGUAUAGUGCUAUUCAACAAUGUUGGACAUCAUUAUUUAUAUGGUCUUAUACCUAAUAAUAUACGGAUAAUUCGAUAUUGUAGUUUUUGUUCUUGUUAUAGAUACCUAUUUAUUGUAUUGCAUAGGUACUAGAACAACUGAUCUUUAAGGAUCUGAUAAAUGAGGCUGUCAAUUGCGCAAUAACACAACCGGAUUUGUCGGUUGCCGUCGACGACGGCGGCGCACGCGCAACCUUUGCGAGGCGAAACAUCAAGUCCGGCUGACUUGACCUACAUCGCGCUUGUGAAAUUUCUCCAGCGCUGCGCACUUCCAAGAACUAUCUUCUGGGGAAUCCCAAUGCCUCGCUGCAAAAUUGAUAGUAAGAACACAAAGUAAAGUUAUUAAAGACCGUUUAAAAGUUAUUUUUACCGGCAACCAAUUUGUCUUUCGACGAAUGCCACAAGCAUUGAUAAAAAAGGCAAAAAGUUAAACGUUCGAUGUGACAGGUAUGCUGUAGUAUCUUUAUUGUAGAAAACACAUUGUUACCUGUCUGUCGGGGGCACUAUUUCGAAUGCACUGUUGUUACUUUGUCAAAUUGUAACCACCCACGAUGGAUUAAUUAUCCCUGGUCGCUUUCACUGUACUUAUAGUAACCUCUGUUUUAUCUAAGUAUACUAUUAUCUAAGUUAUUAGUUACUAUUUAGUUUACUAUUAUUGUAUAUUUGUAUCUAGAUGUAAAAUGUUCUUGUGUUGUGUCAUUUUACUUAAAUUUAAGUAAUGUUAGUAGUGGGUCAACUACUGAUUUUAUUAGAUUAUAAAACAUUGAUUUACAAUUGAAAUUAUUAAAUAUUAUACUAUUAAGACUUCAUAACAUUACUCUCAAUAAUUUAAAUUAAUUAACUGUUUAAUAUACACAAUAUAAUAUUUUAGGUUAGAAAAUGUACAUAUAAUUAUAAUAACCACAAUUUAACAAUAAAUGUAUUUAUAAUAGACAUGUACCUAUAUAAUCAACAGGAAAAGAGCAUUUACAAAGAAACAUAACUCUCGUUAUAUUAACAUAAUGUUUAGUCUUUUAACAAAUGAAUGCAUUCUAUAAAAUUGUGUUCUAUAUAAAUUGAACUUCCUGUUUAUUCUAUAGAAGUAGACGUAAAUGAUAAAAUUAAAAAGACAAAGGGUUUGUUGAAGUAGUGCAGAAUUAAUUGCUAUUGUGAUCUACAAUGUUCAUUUAUAGAUAUCUAGUUUUGUUAAUAAAUACUCAUUGCAGUAAUAAA
This is a long non-coding RNA of Galleria mellonella (greater wax moth), 3488 nucleotides long. RefSeq lists it as uncharacterized. NCBI's taxonomy places the organism in Eukaryota, Metazoa, Arthropoda, Insecta, Lepidoptera, Pyralidae. The record is from RefSeq and is a predicted model, not a curated record. The transcript is spliced from 2 exons.